Mus musculus (house mouse) is the source of this 3949-nucleotide long non-coding RNA. RefSeq annotates it as predicted gene 4166. The transcript is spliced from 5 exons. The record is from RefSeq and is a predicted model, not a curated record. NCBI's taxonomy places the organism in Eukaryota, Metazoa, Chordata, Mammalia, Rodentia, Muridae.
GCCGGCUGUGACUCUGUCCCAGGCAGGUGCUGUGGGUUGUGUGGAAACUACAUUCAGACACUUCUGAUUUCAAAGCAAACUCUGGAUUCUGAGCAGAGCCUUGAGCUGGUAGUGAGGAGGCUGAGACAGGAGGAUCUUGUGUUCAAAGUGUUUCUGGACUACAAAUGGAAUUCAAGGCCAGAACUGAUGGUUUAGUGGGACUCCAUAGUAAAAGAUUGCAGCAGUGCUCGUGAGAGUGACGUUGAAGAAUAUAAGUCUGCAGGCUAGAAUUAUGAGCAACCCAGCUGGAAUUUACAUGGCCUCUAGGAAUCAGAACUAAGGGCUUGCUUCUGCAGAGAAAGCUCUUUAACCACCAACCAAUUCAUUGCUGCAUUCCUAGAAGUAGCUGAGUCCUUUAAACUCAGGUUCUGGAGACUAAGGACGAUGCAAGCACCUCACCAGCUGGUCUAGAUUUCCAGGGCCAUUCUGCACACUUUCAAAACUUCCUGCGGUGCUGCAUAGACUGUGCACAUGAGAACAUUCUUAGGGUUGAGAACAUCUCCUUGGAAUGCAAUCUGUUUUGAUAGCAUGUGGAGACUGAUUUGAUAACUCACAGCAGCACACAUGAAUGUUUCAUUCAUUUUUCAUGGGGACAGUAACUUUUUUGGCUUACACAAUGCCCGGCUGCAAAGAGCAGGCCACAUCCAUCAGAGUGACAUACUGCAGAGCAAUGUGUUGCUUGGCACUGGAAGCAUGAAGAUCCGCCCUGUCCUAGAUGCACAGAGCACAUCAAAUAUGGAAGCAAAUGUUACUUGUGAUAGCUGUGAGAAUGUCCUUAGGGGUCUUCUAAACCCAGAGGCACACCCUUGGCUUGGAGAGUUAGACAUCAACUCUCUUUUUAAAAUUAAUUAAUUAAUUAAUUUUUUACAUUUCAUAUUUUAUGCCCCAGCCCCCCCCCCUUGUCCAACCUCUAACUGUUCCACAUCCCAUACCUCCUCCCCACCCCACCCCCUGUCCAACUGACCUCAAAACUUCCUGGGGCCUUCAGUCUCUUGAGGGUUAGGUGCAUCAUCUCUGAAUGAACACAGACCUGGAAGUCCUCUAAUGUAUAUGUGUUGAGGGCCUCAUAUCAGCUGGUGUAUGCUGCCUGUUUGGUGAUCCAGUAUUUGAGAGAUCUCGGGGGUCCAGAUUAAUUGAGACUGCUGGUCCUCCUACAGGUCCUCAACUUCUUUCAGCCUUUCCUAAUUCAACAACAGGGAUCAGCUGCUUCUGUCUGUUGGUUGGGUGUGAAUAUCUGCAUCUGGCUCUUUCAGCUGCUUGUUGGGUCUUCUGGAGUGUGGUCAUGCAAGGUCCCUCUUUUUGUGAGCACUCCAUAGCCUCAGUAAUAGUAUCAGACCCUGGGACAUCCCCUUGAGCUGGAUCCUACUUUGGGCCUAUUGCUGGACCUUCUUUUCUUAAGGCUCCUCUUCAGUUCCAUCCCUGUAAUUCUUUCAGACAGAAACAAGUAUGGGUCAGAGUUGUGACUGGGGAAUGGCCUCCCUCUCCCUCAUUUGAUGCUCUGUCUACUUGCUGGAGGUAGGCUCUAUAAGUUAUCUCUCCCUACUGUCGGGCAUUUCAUCUUACGUCCCUACACAUCAACUCUUAAUGUGGAAAAAGUCCAUGCUUCACAGCUCCACCUGUAAGGUCCUGCAGAUUUAGGAUUAUUAUUGCAUUGUGCUAAAUUGGGUCCUCCCAGCUCAAUGCAAGCCAUACAGAGAAUGCACCAUGGCCUUUGGUAAGGAGUCUCUCUGGUGUGUAGAGAGCACACAUUUUCCUGUGUCCUGUUCCUUUCUCCAUUCAUUAUCUUGUUCAAUCAACUGACAAAUGUACAUUGAGAAAAGAGGAUUGAAGUGAACCCUAUUGGGCUUCAGGGAUAUAAAAAGGAAGGAGACAUAGCCCAUUCACAGAAGCUGCACAGCCCAGGAGAGGUGAAGCAUCUCUUUGCCGCAAUUCUGUGGGCUUCCUUCAGUGACAUAAGGCGAUGUCUGCAGACAGGGGUAGAUUUCUGCUGUUAUCUAGUGGGUUGAUGCUGGGCUGCUACAGUUUACAUACCAGCCCCUUAUAACUAGGACUCUAUGUAGCCAAGACUUGAAAUUCAAUAAUGAAUGCUACUAGGUAAUUGUGGCUUGGAAGGUCUUUCUCCCUAUGUCCUGAUCUCUUCUUCAUUUCCAACUUCUUGACAAAAAAAAAAAAAAGGGAAAGUUUCACUUUAAGCUCUUUGGGCUCCUCCUAUGUGAUGCUACCUGCUCCUCCUGUCUGAUGUGGUCAGUAUGGUCUCUUUCUGGUCCUUGCCCACCCCCACCACUCUGCUGUCCCCCUGUGAGUCAGACCUCCACAACAGACACAGUCUGUCUACCCUCUGCAGCUGUCCCCUGCCCCUGAUCUUUGACCUUCUGUUAUGUUAUUCCUGUUCUCUCUGGGUUGGAAAUUCCCUAUCCCUGUUGCUAAAUGGUUAUGAGUCCUAUGGUUAAUCUCAGAUGGCUUGUGUUACAUGGAAGAUGGUUCUUAGGUAAAAAUCAGAAGAUAAAUUUACUUUUAUCAGUUUAGUUUUUUUCUUUUCUGUGGAACCUCCAGCCCGAGAUCUGAGUGUGUUUGGUGGAUCCCACCCAGACCAUGAUUUCCUCACUCCCAGGCAGCCCAUAAUAUAUAGGUCCUUAUAUACCUUUGGACUUUCCCUCCAUAAUGACAGGGUCCUUAUGCAACAUACCUUACCCAUAGUUAAGUAACUGAAAAACUCUUAAUUCACGACUCUCUCUAAAAUUUAGCUGACCAUUCCAAAUUCAUAUAAUAAUUCAAAUAGAUUUCAUGAUGUUUUGUUUGUAUUUAUAUGUUCCUAUACAUCUUUGUUUUCAUGUUCAUGUGCAUGCACACAUGGAUGGAGGCCAGAGGACAACCUUGAGUGACCCUCCCCAAGCACUAUUUACCUUCUGUUUUGAGACAAGGCCCCUCACUGACCCAAGAAUUAUCAAACAGGCUAUACUGGCUGGCCAAAGAGAUCCAGGACUCUCUCUAACUCUACACUUCCCUAGUGCAGGGGUUAUAGGCACAUUCCACCACUCCUAGCUUUCUUUCGGGAUUCUAAGAUCAAACUCAGGUACCUGAGCUACUGAGAUGUGUCUCCAGUGCAUAAUGCAACUUAAAACAUUAAUGAUAGUUGUUUGCAUAUGUGUGCAGAGGUCUGGCAGAAAGAUUAUCAGGGUCUUCUCUGGUAUGUCAAAUACACAGUGAAGAACUGCCCUUGGCCUUCAUAGGUACUUCCAAGGUGCUUUCUAAGGACACUGAGGCUUCCUUAGAAAAUUGUUUUAAUACCUUCCUGGCCAUUUGUAAAAAGAGGAUCUGGAAUUCAAGUUUUGAGUUAUUAGUAUUCACUGACACACCUUGAGGCCUUGAUAGGAAAAACAAAAAACAAAAAACAAAAAACACACAUUGUCCUGAUGGCAUCACAGAAUAAGGAGAAUGCUGACGUGUGAAAUGUAAGUUCUGAAAGCUUAUAAUGAUCACUGAGGUGAUAUUCUGGGCCUUUUACAAAGCUGCAGGUCCUUUCACACCCAGUUAACUGAAACAUCACAUGUUUUUCUCUGGAUGUGAAAAUGGAGAAAAGGCCUACUGACCUGUCACCAAAGAUCACGAGAUUUCUCUCCAUCAUCCACUCUUGUAUAGCAAUCCUUUUUGUGUAGCUGUAGUUAUGACUUUAUUAUCUGUCAUAAUAUAUGCUAGUCUCUAUAAAAUAAACACAGGUGCAUGCAAGUUUAUUCUGUCGUUGUUUAUAUAAAUAUCACAGAGACACUGAAAGUUUUAGCCAUGUUGCUAUUUGUAUAGAGACGCAUUGGCUGGAAGCUGGAGAGACUGCUCAGUAGUUAAGGACACUGGUUUGCUUUGGCUCAAUUCCCAGCACCCAUAUGGUGGCUCACAACCUUUUGUAACUCUAGAU